AGCAUGUGGUUAAUUCGAAGCAACGCGAAGAACUUACCAGGCCUUGACAUGCAGAGAACUUUCCAGAGAUGGAUUGGUGCCUUCGGGACUCUGACACAGGUGCUGCAUGGCUGUCGUCAGCUCGUGUCGUGAGAUGUUGGGUUAAGUCCCGUAACGAGCGCAACCCUUGUCCUUAGUUACCAGCACGUUAUGGUGGGCACUCUAAGGAGACUGCCGGUGACAAACCGGAGGAAGGUGGGGGAUGACGUCAAGUCAUCAUGGCCCUUACGGCCUGGGCUACACACGUGCUACAAUGGUCGGUACAAAGGGUUGCCAAGCCGCGAGGUGGAGCUAAUCCCAUAAAACCGAUCGUAGUCCGGAUCGCAGUCUGCAACUCGACUGCGUGAAGUCGGAAUCGCUAGUAAUCGUGAAUCAGAAUGUCACGGUGAAUACGUUCCCGGGCCUU
Molecule: ribosomal RNA, 445 nt
Filed under: uncultured Pseudomonas sp.
Lineage: Bacteria; Pseudomonadati; Pseudomonadota; Gammaproteobacteria; Pseudomonadales; Pseudomonadaceae
Description: bacterial SSU rRNA
Rfam family: Bacterial small subunit ribosomal RNA
Source: RNAcentral